This 465-nucleotide ribosomal RNA is filed under the name uncultured Klebsiella sp. Its description in RNAcentral is "bacterial SSU rRNA". It matches the Rfam family "Bacterial small subunit ribosomal RNA", at positions 338 to 795 of the family's 1533-position model. Lineage: Bacteria; Pseudomonadati; Pseudomonadota; Gammaproteobacteria; Enterobacterales; Enterobacteriaceae. The record is from RNAcentral.
CCUACGGGAGGCUGCAGUGGGGAAUAUUGCACAAUGGGCGCAAGCCUGAUGCAGCCAUGCCGCGUGUGUGAAGAAGGCCUUCGGGUUGUAAAGCACUUUCAGCGGGGAGGAAGGCGGUGAGGUUAAUAACCUCAUCGAUUGACGUUACCCGCAGAAGAAGCACCGGCUAACUCCGUGCCAGCAGCCGCGGUAAUACGGAGGGUGCAAGCGUUAAUCGGAAUUACUGGGCGUAAAGCGCACGCAGGCGGUCUGUCAAGUCGGAUGUGAAAUCCCCGGGCUCAACCUGGGAACUGCAUUCGAAACUGGCAGGCUAGAGUCUUGUAGAGGGGGGUAGAAUUCCAGGUGUAGCGGUGAAAUGCGUAGAGAUCUGGAGGAAUACCGGUGGCGAAGGCGGCCCCCUGGACAAAGACUGACGCUCAGGUGCGAAAGCGUGAGGAGCAAACAGGAUUAGAUACCCCUGUAGUC